RNAcentral lists this ribosomal RNA (1491 nucleotides) under metagenome. RNAcentral describes it as "bacterial SSU rRNA". It matches the Rfam family "Bacterial small subunit ribosomal RNA". The record is from RNAcentral.
AGAGUUUGAUCAUGGCUCAGAUUGAACGCUGGCGGCAUGCCUUACACAUGCAAGUCGAACGGCAGCACGAGAGCUUGCUCUUGGUGGCGAGUGGCGAACGGGUGAGUAAUAUAUCGGAACGUACCCUAGAGUGGGGGAUAACGUAGCGAAUGUUACGCUAAUACCGCAUACGAUCUACGGAUGAAAGUGGGGGAUCGCAAGACCUCAUGCUCAUGGAGCGGCCGAUAUCUGAUUAGCUAGUUGGUGGGGUAAAAGCUCACCAAGGCGACGAUCAGUAGCUGGUCUGAGAGGACGGCCAGCCACACUGGAACUGAGACACGGUCCAGACUCCUACGGGAGGCAGCAGUGGGGAAUUUUGGACAAUGGGCGCAAGCCUGAUCCAGCAAUGCCGCGUGAGUGAAGAAGGCCUUCGGGUUGUAAAGCUCUUUUGUCAGGGAAGAAACGGUGGACUCUAAUACAGAUCACUAAUGACGGUACCUGAAGAAUAAGCACCGGCUAACUACGUGCCAGCAGCCGCGGUAAUACGUAGGGUGCAAGCGUUAAUCGGAAUUACUGGGCGUAAAGCGUGCGCAGGCGGUUGUGCAAGACAGAUGUGAAAUCCCCGGGCUCAACCUGGGAAUUGCAUUUGUGACUGCACGGCUAGAGUGUGUCAGAGGGGGGUAGAAUUCCACGUGUAGCAGUGAAAUGCGUAGAGAUGUGGAGGAAUACCGAUGGCGAAGGCAGCCCCCUGGGAUAACACUGACGCUCAUGCACGAAAGCGUGGGGAGCAAACAGGAUUAGAUACCCUGGUAGUCCACGCCCUAAACGAUGUCUACUAGUUGUCGGGUCUUAAUUGACUUGGUAACGCAGCUAACGCGUGAAGUAGACCGCCUGGGGAGUACGGUCGCAAGAUUAAAACUCAAAGGAAUUGACGGGGACCCGCACAAGCGGUGGAUGAUGUGGAUUAAUUCGAUGCAACGCGAAAAACCUUACCUACCCUUGACAUGUCUGGAAUCCUUGAGAGAUCAGGGAGUGCUCGAAAGAGAAUCAGAACACAGGUGCUGCAUGGCUGUCGUCAGCUCGUGUCGUGAGAUGUUGGGUUAAGUCCCGCAACGAGCGCAACCCUUGUCAUUAGUUGCUACGAAAGGGCACUCUAAUGAGACUGCCGGUGACAAACCGGAGGAAGGUGGGGAUGACGUCAAGUCCUCAUGGCCCUUAUGGGUAGGGCUUCACACGUCAUACAAUGGUACAUACAGAGGGCCGCCAACCCGCGAGGGGGAGCUAAUCCCAGAAAGUGUAUCGUAGUCCGGAUUGUAGUCUGCAACUCGACUACAUGAAGUUGGAAUCGCUAGUAAUCGCGGAUCAGCAUGUCGCGGUGAAUACGUUCCCGGGUCUUGUACACACCGCCCGUCACACCAUGGGAGCGGGUUUCACCAGAAGUGGGUAGCCUAACCGCAAGGAGGGCGCUCACCACGGUGGGAUUCGUGACUGGGGUGAAGUCGUAACAAGGUA